UUGUUGGUAAGGUAAAAGCUUACCAAGGCCUCGAUCAGUAGCUGGUCUGAGAGGACGACCAGCCACACUGGGACUGAGACACGGCCCAGACUCCUACGGGAGGCAGCAGUGGGGAAUUUUGGACAAUGGGGGCAACCCUGAUCCAGCCAUGCCGCGUGAGUGAAGAAGGCCUUCGGGUUGUAAAGCUCUUUCAGCCGGAACGAAACGGUUACGGUUAACACCCGUGACUACUGACGGUACCGGAAGAAGAAGCACCGGCUAACUACGUGCCAGCAGCCGCGGUAAUACGUAGGGUGCGAGCGUUAAUCGGAAUUACUGGGCGUAAAGCGUGCGCAGGUGGUUUUGUAAGUCAGAUGUGAAAGCCCCGGGCUCAACCUGGGAACUGCGUUUGAAACUACAAGACUAGAGUGUGGCAGAGGGGGGUGGAAUUCCGCGUGUAGCAGUGAAAUGCGAAGAGAUGUGGAGGAACACCGAUGGCGAAGGCAGCCCCCUGGGUCAACACUGACGCUCAGGCACGAAAGCAUGGGGAGCAAACAGGAUUAGAUACCCUGGUAGUCCAUGCCCUAAACGAUGUCAACUAGUUGUCGGGCCUUUACGGGCUUGGUAACGUAGCUAACGCGUGAAGUUGACCGCCUGGGGAGUACGAUCGCAAGAUUAAAACUCAAAUGAAUUGACGGGGACCCGCACAAGCGGUGGAUUAUGUGGAUUAAUUCGAUGCAACGCGAAAAACCUUACCUACCCUUGACAUGUAUCGAAGCCCGCAGAAAAGCGGGGGUGCCCGAAAGGGAACGAUAACACAGGUGCUGCAUGGCUGUCGUCAGCUCGUGUCGUGAGAUGUUGGGUUAAGUCCCGCAACGAGCGCAACCCUUGUCAUUAAUUGCCAUCAUUUAGUUGGGCACUUUAAUGAGACUGCCGG
Molecule: ribosomal RNA, 916 nt
Filed under: uncultured bacterium
Lineage: Bacteria
Description: bacterial SSU rRNA
Rfam family: Bacterial small subunit ribosomal RNA
Source: RNAcentral